This 7052-nucleotide long non-coding RNA is filed under the name Phaseolus vulgaris (common bean). Its description in RNAcentral is "long non-coding RNA (PVUL_LNC000087)". Lineage: Eukaryota; Viridiplantae; Streptophyta; Magnoliopsida; Fabales; Fabaceae. The record is from RNAcentral.
UACAAUCUUCAUCACAGCAACUGAAAGUUAACGAGCAAAAUAAGCUUCAACAUUGAACCAUGCAUGCUUAAAUAUCUCAAAUAACCAUGAUUUGUUAGUAGGAUUAUAAGUCAAAGCUUUAACAGGGAAAAGGAGCAAUAUAAAAGUGGAUAGAGUAGAAGUCAAUCACUGAUUAUUACAAUCAUACAUUUAGUAUGAAUUCUAAACCAAGUCCAGAAGUUCAGGAGCAUCUCAUUAUGUGGGCACCCAACAAGUGGAAGCAUUAAAAAUGCGGCCCUUCCAACCUUGAAUCAUCCAGUUGUUAUCUUCACUGAAGAUAAAAUCUCUGUGAUAUUCCUUUAACUUAGUCCUAAAUUUGGCCAUUAAUUCCUCCUUCAAUGGGAGCUGCUUGAAACCAGCCCUUGUAUUCCUAACUUGCCAUUGUUUGUAAGUCUCAGGUCUCUGAACCCUGUCAGAACCUUCACAUGCUAUGACAUUCACAGCCUCCCGACCCAAAAGCUCGCUCUCAAUCGUCAACCUCCAAUCGUUUUCACGAGGUAUGACAGUGUCAAACAUAUCAUAAAUAGCAGAAUAAUGGAAUAGUGCCUCCCUAAACCGUGUGUUAAAGAAAGGGACACUAAAUGAUCCAUUAAUAAUGAUCUGAGUAAAGAUAUUCGGAUUUAUCUUCCUGAUCAAGUGUAGGACUGCAUUUCUAGGACUGUUCAAUUCAACAGUACUCUCAUCCAGUAAAUGUUCAAACCUCAUGUGACAGUUGACAGCAACUAUCUCAUUGCUCUCAAUUUUAAGGGCUUCCACCUGAAUGGUUUCCCAGUUCCUUGAUGCUAUGGCAUGGUAUUCGAAGGGAACCUUGUAACGCUUACAAUAGCUAGCAAGACGGUGACCAGUCUCCUCAAUUUUUUCAGUGGACGAAAGCCUGGUUGGGGAAACUCUAUCCCUGUGAUCCUCAGCUUGGGAGGACCACCCUCUCUGUUUGAUAAAAACUUUAUAAGAAUUGGCCACUGGAAACCGUAUAGGAUGCCAAAAUCAAUAAUAUGGACGGUUUCUGAUUUUGCAGCUGCUUCCAUAAUCAUUUUAUUUGCAAAGAAAUAUGUAAACUUCUUGAAAGGGGUGGAAGAUAGAAAAAGUUGGUAUGCCCUCAGGAACUCAGCAGCAGUAAUCCUCUUAGAGUUCAGAAAAGAAAAUAUUUCAUGAGCGCCUGAACCAGCCCCAACCAACCGUGCUUCAAGACCAUUGGCGAAAUAGUGAGCUACCCUCUGUGAUGCAUCCCCAAAGGGAGAAGAGUGUUGCCUAAUCUGCUUUAGUAAUUCAGUGGCAGCUCUGUUGUCAUUGGCAUAUACAGAUUGUGCACACAUCAGCAGAACAUUCCUCAAAUCCACACUUUCCUUCUUCGUCCCUUGUUUCUUUGAUCGUCCCUUCCCUCCAUCUCGCUCCUCACCUUUCACUGCUCCAUUCUGCAAGGAAUUCUGUUCACUACCCACGUUUUCCACACUUAGAAACACCCGAUCAAUAGCAUCUGAAAUGUCACUCUCAUCAACAAGGCUAAGUGCCGAUUGCUUACUCCUUCUCCCUUCUUCUUCUUCUUCUAUCUCUUGCCGCUCGUGAUUCUUCCUUCCCUCCCAUCCGAAGGAAUUAUCUCCAAACGUAUUGACCUGCUCCUCCCCGUUUGAAUGCAGACCAGUUACAAGCUUAGGGCCAGAAGGAAGAAACUUGGUAGCUUCCUCUAACCCUCUCCUAAACUGGGAAACAGAAUCAGCAUCAUUGAACAUAUUUUGUGCCAAGAGUUUGGCAAUAGAAGAAUCCAAAUCUGAGAAUCCAUGACUAAAUGAAGGUGACUGAGAAAGGAUGUGGGGGUUAAACUGAAAAGCAGAAGCAGAAGCAGAAACAGAAUCUGGGGAAGGAAAAUUUUCAUCUAAAAAACUGCUGUUGUAGUUAUUGCUGGUGGUGGUGGUGGUUUCAACUUGGGGGCUGAGAACAAGGGCGUGUUGAUUAGGGGAAAUGUUACCAAUGAGAGUAUCAUAGAAGGACUUCUCGGUAACCUGCAAGGUGAGCGAGUCAUAGAAUGGAUUUUGUUGAACGUUCUCUUCCAUGAGGAUCUGGCUUAUGAACUUGGCAGUUUCUGAGAAGUCGUUCUCUUCCAGUGGAGGAUCCAUUGUUGCAAAACCAAGUGAGUCUGAGAGGUAUGAUAAGCUCUCCUCUUCAUCAAACAGGUCAACUCUGGGAAAGUUGUGCUCCAUCGUGAUAAUCAACAACACUGAAAUGGCUUUUUGCAGUGUUCAGAGAGAGAGAGAAGAAAGAAAAAUGGGGAUUCGUUCAUAGAACAUGAUGAAAACGAAAUACGAAGAAUUCGGUGAGGGAAGGCCAACAGUCACAAAGCCGCAAACAGCAACAUAUGCAGCAGCCCUUUAAGUUUGACUAUCAUGACCAUGAUGAUGACCGCAGUCGUAGGAAUAACUCCGCGAAGCUUCCUAUUUCGGAGGAGGCUGUUACUGUUGUCAAAAUAAUCUCUAGAAACUUAUCUACAUGGGGGAAUAAUAUCUGAUCUAACAUGCUACCUAUUUGAAUGGAUUAAUUAAUUAAUCUAAUCAUAAUAAUUAUUUAUUAUGCAUCCCUUAAUUAUUAUAAGUAAAUACAAUCACACGUUUUUAUGAAAAAAAAAAACAAAUAAAAUUGUUUCUUAUUUCAAAUGAACAAAAAAUUAUUAUGAUGGUAUUACAUGUACUACGUCCGAUCGUGACUAAACACCCUAAUCUGGCCCAGUAAAUUACUGACUUAUUAAAAUAAUAUUAAUAAUACAAAUUCCAAAAAUCAGGUAUAUUAUUACAUAGGAUUCAAAAUAUCGAGUGUCGAAUAUUAAAUCUAACUUGAGCGAUGAAAUGUCUUCUACACGUACCAUCCAAGUCUAGAUUUCGUUAAAACGAGGAGUGGAACGAGUAGAUGUGAGGAAAAAGUUUGCAAGAAGAGAAGAUGAAGUGAAAACCGACUGAUAAAAAAAAGUAGAAAAGUAGUUUCAAUCGUUCUCUAGGUUUAACCGGUUUGAAAACCUUACAUAGCUAAUCUAAGGAAGAAAAUCUUAUUUGUCAUGUAGAGUUGUUUAAAAUUAAAAUAAAUUGAAAGUAAAAUGAGCAUUUUGGAAAUAAAAGUAGAGAACGUCUUCCCAAAAGUAAAUAAAAUGGACGUAAAAUAAAGUUGUAUUUUAUGUCAAAUAUGAUUUUUUUUUUAAAAAGUCUAACAGUUGCCCUUUUAAUUUAUGAUUUUAUUUUUAGAAUUCAAUUAAAUAAUUUUUUUAAAUAGUAUAAAUUUCUGAGUCUAAACAAAUUAUCAAGAUAUUCACAUUUACAUAAAUUCCUCAUUCACAACUUCAUAAUAUGGAUAAUGAAUACAUUUUGUGAUGUAAACUAUUAUAUGAAGAAAUAUAUGAUUAUAAAUAAGAGAGAAUUAAUAUGAACAAAUAUUUUAUUAUAAAUAAGAGAAAACCAUAAAAAAAAAGUAACACAAUAAGUUAAACGAAUACGAAAAUCUUAAAAAAGGUAAUAAUAGAAAUAAAAUGUUGGUGAAGAAAUACAUAGCACAUAUAAUUCUUGUUUUAUAGUAAUUGUGCCAUGACAUUUUUCAUAAAUGAGUUUACAAUUAUAUUUUCAGUCAAAGACAACACUUCUAAUAUAUAUGAAGUGUUAAAUGUCAUUUUUAAAUUUCAGAUUUGUAAUAUAAGUGAAAUGUAUUUUGUGCUUAAGAAACUACAUAAGUGAAAUGUAUUUAUCUUAAGUUUAUUAAAUUUCACCAUAUCUUCAUCUUCGUUGUUCAAACUCAUUAGUAUAUAACUUUUUUUUUCAAGAUGUAUAUAGUUUUUAAACUAUCUAAUUUCUUUUGCAUAUAUAUAACGAUCGUCAAAGUAAUUUAUCUUACCCUAGUAGUUUGAAAUAAAAUUUAAGAAAUAGUCAUAGUUUAAUUCUAAAACAAUUGAAGGUUCCAUAAUAGUAUUAUGAUUAAUUAUACGAGUGGUAAUAAAAAAAAUGCUUUCAUAUUUUACUGAAUGAAUUGAGUUAGACUUGUUUUAGCAUUGAAUUUACAACUUUUUUUUAAAUGCUACACAUUAGUAACACAACUAAUGUACGUUUCAAAUUAUCCAAAUAUAUAUAUAAAUUUUGUUCUAAAUAUCCAAAAUAUAUUUAUAAAUUUUGUUCUAAAUAGAGUGCAGAAAAUAUUGUUGACCUUUAAUAAUUUAUUGACGUUAUAAUAUUUGCUUGCAAGAAUUUUUUAUAGAUUUAGAUGAAAGUUGUAAUAAUUAACAUCCUUGAUUCAAAAUAUCAAUAAAAAGAGUGUUAUAGUAAUUGCAUUAGCCACUGUCUCAAUAAUUACUGGUUAAAUCGGUUAAUCAUUAAUUGAAUCCAAAAAUUACAAUAAAAAUAAUAAGAUGAAAUCUUGGAACUGGAGAAACAAGCAAAGUUUUAGAACUCAAACAAAGGUUUAACUGAGAAAAUAGGAGCUUGGUAGAAUAAAAGGCGGUGAUUGAUUCUUAGAAUCAUACUUUUAGGAUUUCUUCCAUUGGUCUGAUAUUUGGCAUACAAAUAUUAAAUAUAACCAAAAGGUACUACAACAUAAAGCCAUGCAAAUACAAUUUCACAGUUCAUAUUGAAACAUAUACACAAAGCAUUUAUAAUAUGACGAUUACACUUUUCAUCAACAUACUUUAAUUUAAUUCACAACUAUACCACCAAUUAUUUUCAUCAACAUUGUGUUUAGCAAUGCCUAAAACAAGAAAGGAAGAUCUUAGCUUGGAAAAAAAUGUAAGUUAAAUACACAACACAGUGCAUUGAAGGAUCUUUUUUAUGCUUACUCUUGUAGGAUCAUGCAAUUGACUUAAACCAUGCAUAGCAUAGGGAGUAAAAAAAUUCCACCAUUUUUCUACAUCAAAGUGAAUUAUAAAAGACAUUAUGGCAAAUUGGUUUUUGCUUACUCAUAACAAAAGGAUAAUGUGAAGUACAAACUGUUUCACAAAUCAACCACCACAAGAUAGGACAAGAGGAAUGGAAUCAAAUUUUGGAGCCAUUGACAUUGAUAUAAUAUGCAAUUUUGGUUUUACUAGCAAUAAUGACUUCUGUAGUAAAACUAAUUGCUGAUUAUGUUUUUGGUAGGGUUUUCUGGUUUGGAAUUUGAAAUAGUGGCAAGAAAAAGAUACAGAGUACAAUUAGAAAUCACUAUAUCAAGAUUAAAAUUCAAUAUAUCAAAUAAACCAUAAAUGAUUCCCUCCAAAAUUGAUACUUAGUUAAAAUCUGAACUUGAGAUUAUGUUGCAAGUAUUUUGCAAAAUGCUAAAUCAAGUAUAUAUGUACACAACUUUAAUGCAUUACAUUCCCUCAAUCUUGAUUUAUAUAUUUUGGCUAAUUUUGUUUCAACAUUCUAUUAAACCAUUUCGCUUGAAUAACUUUAUUUCAGCUGACCAUCAAAUUUAUUUCAAUCACGUUUGAAUUUUAAAAAAAAUAAUAAAAAACUAUUUGAUACUUAUUUCAAUCAGUAUUUUUUAGAACAAAUGCUUUUGAAUACCUCUGCUGAUAGUGAUUGCCUCCAACAAAGUAACUUCCAGCAACCAUCCUUAAGUGUUUGUUUGUUUGUUCAAAAGUCAAAUAGAAUUAAUUUUAAACAAUAAAAUAGUAAAAUGUGUCUAAAUUGAAUUCAACAACAUUGCAUUGAAAAUAGCCAUUGAUUUAGAUGUAAAACAAGCAAACAGCCAACAGAUUAAUUGGCAGCAUGAAAACAAAUCACAGGGAAAAGCUUUCAGGUCUAAGCAAAGUGAAUAUUAUGGUUCACUUUGGCAAUGGCACGUAAAUAAGAAAAUAUCAUAGCUAGAAGCAUCAAGAGCCAACGUUAAUGGAAAAAUCUUAAAAAAAUUGAGCAACCAAACAGCAUGUAAUUUAUAAGAUCUAAUGAACUUAUAUCUUGUAAAGCACUGUUAAAACUUCAAACUUAGUUUUUUAUGACGCAAAUAAGGCAGGGAAAGAAGGCUAGGAGAAGCAGGCAUUUGUCAGCAUUCUUAUCUGAAUAUUCUAGAUUAUAUUCAAGUAGUAGCAACAGAUAAAAAAUUUGAAGUACUUUGAUCAGUGGAACAAAUUACCCGACAAUUUCAGAGAAGCUAUCGCUGGAAAACAUGACUUUCCCACAGGUUACUGCAACAAAACAAAAUUGCAAGCAUCACCGGAUAAAACAAACUGAACAUUGUCAUCUGUUACAUCUCGUCAAUUCAGUAGCUAAUUUGGUUCAAGAGACAAUGUAUUACAAAUUUAAAUAGAAGGAGGUGAAUGCCUAAUACAUGUUGGUUAGAAAGAAAAUAACUCAAUAUUUUGAUCGCAAGUACUCGAGCAAACAUUUUACAAGGAUUCUACUACUCUAGAACACCUUCCUUAUCAUUAUAGAAAUUGCAUUAUUUUCACAAGUCUAUAACAAGCAAAGUCAUGCCAUUAUUUUACCAAGCAACACGGUGAAAAUUUUGGUAUACAAUCUUCAUCACAGCACCUGAAGGUGAAGCAAGUAGGUACCAGAACCUGAAACAGUGUAACAAGCAAAAUAAGCUUUACCAUUACAACAAGUUGAAAUAUAUCAAAGCUCAAGCAAUAAGCAAGUGUUAGCAGCUAUAACAAGAAUCUUUGACAGGGAAAACAAGAAAUGGGUAGAGUAAAAGCCAGUGACUAAAUCUUAACCUUGAGUCUAGUUUGAGUUCUGAACCCACUUCGGUAACAUUCAUUAUGCCGGCACCCAACAAGUGGAAGCAUACAAAAUGCGGCCCUUCCAACCUUGAAGCAUCCAAUUGUUAUCUUCAUCAAAGACAAAAUCUCUGUGGUACCAUUCCUUUAACUUGGUCCUAAAUUUGGCCAUCAACUCCUUAUUCAAUGGGAGCUGCUUGAAACCAGCCCUUGUAUUCCUAGCCUGCCACUGUUUGUAUGUCUCGGGCCUCUCAAGUCUCUCAGAACCUUCGCAUGCUAUAACAUUCAUAGCCUCCCGGCCCAGAAGCUCUCUCUCAAUCAUCAACCUCCAUUCGUUUUCACGAGGUAUGACAGUGUC